AGUAGUUGUUGCAAUGACAGAAGGAUAUAAAACAGAGAAGACUUGGAAGUCUUUCAUCUGAACAACUGAUGCAGAUUACAACAGGUGCAAUUGCACAGUGGGAGGAAAGAAGAAAAUGAGAUGCAUCCUUAAAAAAACACUAUCCAGAAGUGACAGAUUAAGCUACUUGAAAUGAAGGCAAUGGAGCGAUGCAGAUGCCGUGAAGAUUAUCCGUAAAGGCGGUCAAAUCGAACGGUCUGGCACUGGCUCUUACCGCCCAGGGGAAGCUUCUCCAGGAAAAGGCGGUAGUUGCUCUGCAUUAAUACACUCCGGGGAGCCUGUUCCUCUCGAGGUGCCGUAGCGUGGAUCCGCAGAUCAUUCAAAAGCAUAUCCAGCCACAUCGCUGGUGGUGUCCCACAGCUGCACUUGGAAAUGGUCAGGCAUCGUAUACCGCUGAAGCGUACUGGAUUGAGUUGUUGCUGUACCUGCAGGACCAGGGAAGGUCGCCGUGUGCUGGUGGGGCUGAGCGCAGUCCGGCUGGAGGAGCGGUACUUCACUCGAGGAAACACAUCCCGGUGGCUUAUACAGCAGGAGCAGUGACCCUUGCUUUAUUUCUGCAGAGCAAGAUGGGAGGUGUUCUUGCUUCUGGCUCACUCCAGCCCUUUGACAGGCUCAAGGUCAUUUUGGAGUCCUCCGCUCCUGCUGAAUUGUUUCAGGAAUGUCUACGCCCAGA
Molecule: long non-coding RNA, 712 nt
Organism: Rhea pennata
Lineage: Eukaryota; Metazoa; Chordata; Aves; Rheiformes; Rheidae
Exons: 5
Source: RefSeq, a predicted model, not a curated record